UCCUGGCCGUAAACGAUGGACACUAGGCAGUAGGGGAUUAAAUGCCCUUUCUGCCGCAGCGAAAGCAUUAAGUGUCCCGCCUGGGGAGUACGGCCGCAAGGCUGAAACUCAAGGUAAUUGACGGGGGCCCACACAAGCGGUGGAGCGUGUUGCUUAAUACGAAGCUAAGCGUAGAACCUUACCAGGGCUUGACAUGCAGGUGGUAGUGACCCCGAAAGGGAAGCGACCCUCCA
RNAcentral lists this ribosomal RNA (233 nucleotides) under uncultured bacterium. RNAcentral describes it as "partial 16S ribosomal RNA". It matches the Rfam family "Bacterial small subunit ribosomal RNA", at positions 794 to 1022 of the family's 1533-position model. The record is from RNAcentral.